RNAcentral lists this ribosomal RNA (434 nucleotides) under uncultured bacterium. RNAcentral's name for it is "partial 16S ribosomal RNA". It matches the Rfam family "Bacterial small subunit ribosomal RNA", at positions 27 to 507 of the family's 1533-position model. The record is from RNAcentral.
GAACGAACGCUGGCGGCAUGCCUAACACAUGCAAGUCGAACGAGACCUUCGGGUCUAGUGGCGCACGGGUGCGUAACGCGUGGGAAUCUGCCCUUGGGUUCGGGAUAACAGUUGGAAACGACUGCUAAUACCGGAUGAUGACUUCGGUCCAAAGAUUUAUCGCCCAGGGAUGAGCCCGCGUCGGAUUAGCUAGUUGGUGAGGUAAGAGCUCACCAAGGCGACGAUCCGUAGCUGGUCUGAGAGGAUGAUCAGCCACACUGGGACUGAGACACGGCCCAGACUCCUACGGGAGGCAGCAGUGGGGAAUAUUGGACAAUGGGCGAAAGCCUGAUCCAGCAAUGCCGCGUGAGUGAUGAAGGCCUUAGGGUUGUAAAGCUCUUUUACCCGGGAUGAUAAUGACAGUACCGGGAGAAUAAGCCCCGGCUAACUCCGUG